RNAcentral lists this ribosomal RNA (301 nucleotides) under uncultured bacterium. Its description in RNAcentral is "partial 16S ribosomal RNA". It matches the Rfam family "Bacterial small subunit ribosomal RNA", at positions 509 to 808 of the family's 1533-position model. The record is from RNAcentral.
CAGUCGCCACGGUAAUACGUAGGUGGCGAGCGUUGUCCGGAAUCAUUGGGCGUAAAGGGAGCGCAGGCGGGCAUGUGAGUCUUUCUUAAAAGUUCGGGGCUCAACCCCGUGAUGGGAAAGAAACUACAUGUCUUGAGUACAGGAGAGGAAAGCGGAAUUCCCAGUGUAGCGGUGAAAUGCGUAGAUAUUGGGAGGAACGCCAGUGGCGAAGGCGGCUUUCUGGACUGCAACUGACGCUGAGGCUCGAAAACCAGGGGAGCGAACGGGAUUAGAUACCCGAGUAGUCCCUGUCUCUUAUACA